This 199-nucleotide unclassified non-coding RNA is filed under the name fungal sp. RNAcentral's name for it is "partial internal transcribed spacer region". The stretch from base 1 to 46 matches the Rfam family "Eukaryotic small subunit ribosomal RNA", at positions 1786 to 1831 of the family's 1831-position model. Lineage: Eukaryota; Fungi. RNAcentral also lists the same sequence under 1 other name. The record is from RNAcentral.
AAGUUGUAACAAGGUUUCCGUAGGUGAACCUGCGGAAGGAUCAUUAACAAAUCCAUAUUUUAUGCCGCAAGGCGUAGAUAUAAAUUCACUUGGCUGGCGCAAGCUGCCAAGUUGAAAGAUAUUAUUGUGUGUAGUGUAGACAAGUGUGUGUAAAAACAAAAAUAAUUGACAACUUUUAACAAUGGAUCUCUAGGCUCUU